GGGGGGACCAUCCUCCAAGGCUAAAUACUCCUGACUGACCGAUAGUGAACCAGUACCGUGAGGGAAAGGCGAAAAGAACCCCGGCGAGGGGAGUGAAACAGAACCUGAAACCGUGUACGUACAAGCAGUGGGAGCCUUCUUUAUGGGGGUGACUGCGUACCUUUUGUAUAAUGGGUCAGCGACUUAUAUUCUGUAGCAAGGUUAACCGUAUAGGGGAGCCGCAGGGAAACCGAGUCUUAACUGGGCGUUAAGUUGCAGGGUAUAGACCCGAAACCCGGUGAUCUAGCCAUGGGCAGGUUGAAGGUUGGGUAACACUAACUGGAGGACCGAACCGACUAAUGUUGAAAAAUUAGCGGAUGACCUGUGGCUGGGGGUGAAAGGCCAAUCAAACCGGGAGAUAGCUGGUUCUCCCCGAAAGCUAUUUAGGUAGCGCCUCGUGAACUCAUCUUCGGGGGUAGAGCACUGUUUCGGCUAGGGGGCCAUCCCGGCUUACCAACCCGAUGCAAACUGCGAAUACCGAAGAAUGUUAUCACGGGAGACACACGGCGGGUGCUAACGUCCGUCGUGAAGAGGGAAACAACCCAGACCGCCAGCUAAGGUCCCAAAGUCAUGGUUAAGUGGGAAACGAUGUGGGAAGGCACAGACAGCCAGGAUGUUGGCUUAGAAGCAGCCAUCAUUUAAAGAAAGCGUAAUAGCUCACUGGUCGAGUCGGCCUGCGCGGAAGAUGUAACGGGGCUAAACCAUGCACCGAAGCUGCGGCAGCGACACUAUGUGUUGUUGGGUAGGGGAGCGUUCUGUAAGCCGUCGAAGGUGUGCUGUGAGGCAUGCUGGAGGUAUCAGAAGUGCGAAUGCUGACAUAAGUAACGAUAAAGCGGGUGAAAAGCCCGCUCGCCGGAAGACCAAGGGUUCCUGUUCAACGUUAAUCGGAGCAGGGUGAGUCGACCCCUAAGGCGAGGCCGAAAGGCGUAGUCGAUGGGAAACAGGUUAAUAUUCCUGUACUUGGUGUUACUGCGAAGGGGGG
RNAcentral lists this ribosomal RNA (1021 nucleotides) under Pantoea sp. AV62. Its description in RNAcentral is "bacterial LSU rRNA". It matches the Rfam family "Bacterial large subunit ribosomal RNA", at positions 446 to 1471 of the family's 2925-position model. Lineage: Bacteria; Pseudomonadati; Pseudomonadota; Gammaproteobacteria; Enterobacterales; Erwiniaceae. The record is from RNAcentral.